UGAACAGCAACUUUUGAGCUUUAUAAACUAAUAUUAAGGUACAUUAAAAGACAAGACAGCCUUUUUUUACCAGUAAAUUUUAAUGCUUUCUCUUGGAAAUAUCAAAAUAAAAUCUUUGAGGUGAUGUGGGCAUCCUUGUGAGUGAAACAAUGCGGUAUUUCCAAAAUGAAUCAUUUAUUUCAGUCAUCCACAUUUGACUUCUAAAAAAAAAAAAAAAGCAAUGCCGAAAUGGAGUUUGUCUGUCAGUGCUGUCUGUAAGCACUUUGUGAAAAUACGAGAGCAAGACAUCUCGAGUGCGGAUGCCUGCAUUAAGUGAUGAUGCAUAGACUCACAAGGUGUCUGGCCUGAAACGCCUUCUGUAAGACAUGCUGACAUCUGCCAGUGCUGCUGCUUUAUCGGUACCUGGGAGCACUCCUCGCUUCCAAACAUCAGUGCUUAAUAUCAGUGACACGUGUUUGAGAAUGUGGCUCUGCUUCCCCUCAGCUGCAAUCAUUUCUGGACCACGAAUGAUUUUGCCGCUUGCACGGAGGUUCUUCAUGAGAACCUGCAUGGCCUUUGCCUUUUCCCAUGCUGCUGUUACAGUGCUUGAGAAACGAAAAUGUUGCCUUUUGCUUGUCGGGGUGACAGAAAGGAGCUAAAGCAGAACCUGGGCUGGAAUAGUUCAAUAUGCAUUCUCAUGGCUACACGCUUUGAACCCAGCCCCAGAACAAGGCUUUUUCAAGCUUUCUUUGGGGGCACACUUGCUCCUUCCCCGCCUUGCGGGCUCGUUCUGAUCCCUCUCUCUCUCACGGCUCCAUCCUGAUCCCUCUCUUCCUCGACUCUGAGUCACAAGAGCAAUAACCCUGCCUGCUUCGACCCAGUCAGUGCCUCAGCUGUUCGGGUAAAGCCCACGCUCCCGCGGGACUCACGUUUGAGUACAACCCCCGGAUUGUCAGGGCUCCGGCUGGCAGUGCUGCCGAGGGGACAGUCUAAGGCUCUAUUUUAAUCUUCUGGAGCCCAGCCAAGCACUGGAACGGAGCUGCCAGCACGAGGGGGGCCCUCCUGCUCACUGCGCCUGACCUCCCAUCAGGAGAGGUGCUGCUGUGUUCCUUCUCAAACUACUAGGGCCCUUUCAUUGCGCUGACCUCCCAUCACGAGUGCUACCAAGGAUCCAGCUUCGACUACUGGGGGCUUAACCCUGGCUCCGCUCCAGCACACGAGCCGCACGCUGCCUGUCUCCAGAUGGACGACGCACCGCGCUCAGCUGGACGGGUUCUGCUGCAGCAGCCGUGGAGCAACGCCGCCUUCUCGCUGCACCUCACUGAGCUGGACGUUCCCCUGCACAGCCCUCAGCUAUGAUGUGUCAUUGUAUUUGGGUGGAAGCGUGUGAUGAGCACUCCAGCACGGCGAUGGGCCCAGCCUCAAUCCACAGCGCCGGUGUCAGCUUGACAAGCGCUACACCCACGGGCAGUAAUGAAGCAAACACGGCACUGCAGUGCGCUGGGCCCAGGGGGCGGAGGAGAUCCGAGCGCACCUCACCCCGUCCUGGCUGCACAGGGGUGCGCGGCAGCGCGCGGCACUUUGCACUCAGGCCGGCUUUGCUGCUCAGGCAGCGCACAGCGGAACCGCGCUUCCAGAGCAGCGCCCCCCCCGCGGCUGACACGUGCAGUCCGGCACGGCCAACUGCACCACUGCGCACGCGCACGGCUCCGGCAGCGCGUGCCCGCCGCUUCGCUUCCCGCCGCUUCGCUUCCCGCCGCUUCGCUUCCCGCCGCUUCGCUUCCCGCCGCGCUGCGCCUCGCGUGUGCAACAUGGCGGCCCCGCGGGAGCCUUGCCGCGCCCCCUGCCGGGCAGCGUGAGGUGUUGGCGUCGCCGGGCCGGGCCCGGGGCGCCCCGCGGUUGCUUUUAAGGUACUCAUGUGCCCCACGGGCUUCGCGGGAGAGCUGACGCGAGUGUCCGUAAAUGAGUGUGACGAGGGGAACCCUGUGGUGCUUUCCCAGCCCCGAGGCCCUCAGCCGUGGUGUCGCAGAGGGCCGUGCUCCAUGUGGGGUUGCACCGCGGGAACUCACUGUGGGAACUCACCGUGGGAUCGCUGCCUCUGCGCCGGCUGCUGCUGCUGCUGCCUCCCAGGAAAGAUUUAUCGGACAGAGGUGACGUCUUUGACCCAGUUUUGUCCUGCCGGGGUCUCUCUGAACGCCUCCACGAGCUGCAGAGGGAGAGGAGUUGUCCCAGGCACCAGCACAUUCAGCAUCACAGAAGGUGAGACUGGGAACCUGCGCUCUGUGCUUGCACGUCCAGCUCCAGAGGCCAACACCUGCAGAAUCUGGGUCUACCCAGUUGAGGAACCAGACUAAACCAGACUGUUACACUCAACUACCAGGUAAUAGUUCUAAUAAAUCUUCCCAUUUGCCAGUCAAGUUAUUUGUAAACUAUCUAGAGCUAGGGGAUUUUUCUGCAAAUAGCUGGUGUAGUGAUCGUGCUAACAAAUUGUACUCGCGUGGUUAUCACAUCUGGACCUGCCUGCUUGGCAGGAGCUGUGCAGGAAGCCCUGCAGCCAGUUCAGAGGCCAGUGACCGGAGCAUACCUUUUAUCACAGGAGCCAGUAUAAAGGAGCCAGGAUUUUUUUUUUUUCCUUUUCCACUUCAGCAAAGGAUUGUUUUAAAAAUACAGUUCCAAAAACGUGAUUAUUUUUUGUAAAUUACAGAAUAUAGAGUUUAAAGUGUGCUUGCAUCCUGCUGGCCGUGGCCUGCCCCACUCGCCUUGCACAGGUGCUGGGGCCGGGGCCAUGGCUGGCCGAGGCUGAGCCCGCUGGCCUUAGUGUCACUUCCAGCCCCUCAUCCCUCGGGGAGCAGCUGGCCUAGUUAACUCAAACGCUUGGAAACCUGACAAGUGUUGUUCUGGCGGCUUUACUGUUUGCUUCCUUUUCUAUGAUAGCGUAGAGAUAAAAAGAGUAGGCCACUAAUGCUAGUCCUGUUCUUUCCACUGUUGUCUGAAACAUAGCCAUGUUGAUGUUCAACUUGCAAUCUAAAUAAAUAGGAGAGUUCUUUUUAAGAGACAAAGGGAAUGACUUAUGCAGUAGCCUGACAAGAAAGCUGGAAAUGGAACUCAUCUGCUGAACCACUGAUCCCUCACCUACUGAACUAGGCUUAAAAAUGUGUAAUGCAUAUUCACCUCGCUUGGGAAAGGGAGCAUCAGAAUCUUUGUAUUUAUUUCAGACAGGUUUUAUGUCAUUUCUGCGCUGUGUUAAUGGGUAGCUAUGAAUCAUCUGGUUCUAGUUCCUGGUAUUUCUUGUUAUCAUCAGCGAUGCUCUUCCUGGUGGUACCACCUAGUUUGUCCCCUACAUUAGAGGCUUGGAUGAUUCAUAGUACUCAAGUUACUUUGUCAAGUCAACCCAAGUUUGGUAAUUUCCAGCUGGAACUGAUCUGCUUUCCAGCUUGAACAGCAAGCAAGGGAACAUCUUGGGAACAUCUUGGUCCGGAUAUACUUGUAGAUGAAUCUGGGAUCAGUAUCUAACCAUCCCAGUAACACAGCAUAGGCAAUGUAAGAUACAAGGUACAGAAUAAUUCUUAAAAAAGACAAUGCCAUUGUUUUCAUUAUGUCUUAAAAAGUAAAAUAGUCAAGUUACAUAUUGUUUUUCCUGAGACAAAGGAAAUGCAGACACUUUGAGUUACAGCAAUAUGAAGUAUUUAGAUGGUAGUCACUAGCAGGAAAGUAACAUAACACAUAGUGGUGUUCAUCACUGAAAUAAUCUGCAAACAUCAACCCUCAUAAUCCCUCUUUCAAAGACACAUGGAGGCAGAAUUAGUUUAAAAUAGACUAUGCUGUGACUUGUCCAAGAGCCUGCAAUAAGUCAGAGGCAGAUGCAACACAAACCCAGGCUUUCUCAGCCCUCUUAAUGUGCACCUGGUUCCCCCCCGCUGGUACCGUGACUUUGUCCUGGGCUUCCUCUCCUGGCCAGGUGCUGCCAGGUCGAGCUGGUAACCUGUACUGGGAGGAGCUGGGAAAGAGUGGAAUUGCUGAGACCUAUGUUGUGAGCUGGUAACCUUGAUUCUUCCCCUUUUCUGCCAUUCUUCUGCAUCUACAAAAAGGGGCCUCGCCAUGUCGCAAUGAGACAAAUGCAAGAAAAAAAAUACUCAGUGCAUUUGAAAGAGAAGACAUGAAGAGCACCACCCACAAACCGUAUUUCAAAAGGUCGGCGCUCUAGAGUCAAGAAAAGGAAAUGCAUUAGGUUUCCAAUCUCUUCUUUUCGGUAUCCUUUGUAAUCGGUACUGCUUGUAUCUAAAAAGAAGCUGUGUAAGUGGCCAGAACUCUUCUUGUGAAAGAGUUCCUUGAGACUUGAGUAGUGUCACAGUGCUUGGCAUUGCCGGAGCAUGGAUUCCCAGGAAUUCGGUGAAGUUCCACUUGCAUCAAAAGCAGCUUGGGUCCCAGAUGCACUCUGAUUUGUUUAAGGUGCUUGGCAACAUCGUAAUGAGCAGCUUUAUAAAUAACUCAGUAUUAUUAUCUUUAUGUCUUAGUAGUAAUAUUGUUGUUUUUAUGGUACUGUAAUGUUUAUUAUGGCUAUUUUAUGGUGUAAUUUGAUUAGAGUGUUACCCUAAUGUCACAUAGAAAAGGGGAGGGCAUUCCUGUCAUACUUCUGAACACUAACUCUUCUGUUUUCAUCUGAGGAACCCAAAGCCCUUUGGCGAUCAUUAAUUGUCCCACACCAUAUAAGUAAACUCAAGCACAGAGAACUUAAAUGAUUCCCCCAAGCCCACACAACAAGCCAGUGGCAAAGCUGAGAGUUAGACCUGACUCCCUGACGUCUGCGUUAACCACUAGAAAACAUUCCCGUCACAGCAACAGCAGGUAUAAUAGAAAUGAAGAUUGCCACUUUGGAGAUUUUUAGGUCAGUUGUAAUGAGAACACUCAAUGUUUUAUAAACCCUUUAGGUUUCCUGUUUAGAACUUGAUCAAACCAUAAACUGCUCGUUUAAAUAAGCUCCAAAAACAAAAUGUACUAGAAAGCUGAGGAGCAAGGAGACAACAUCCAACAGCAAACUUAUGUUUAUUGCUCAUUUGCUUUCCUUGCUGGGAUGAUGCCGUGUACUUAGAUUAAAUAUGCAGAGCCAAAUUUAUCCCUAGGGUGUAAUUUUUUUGGACUCUGUAUGACACCAGGGUGAAUUUGGCACAUUUACACUCAAAAUUAAUAUGGGUUUUACGAAUAUUUGGAACGGUGUCAAAAUGUUGUGGGUUAAAUUCUGUUCUCAGUUCCACCAGUGCUAACCCAGGCUAACUCCGUUCUGAUCUCGCACUGGAUUUACAGCAAUGUAAUUCCUCUGGGCCGGUGUUCAGCUGGUGUGAAUUAGUUUAUCUGCACUGGAAUGCAGGCAGCUCAGCUGCUUUACACCAGCUAAGAAUCUGACCCGCAUUUAAGUAGAAUUACUCCUAAAAUACACAAUGGCACAUGCAACGUGAGUUGGGUCCACUGUGCCCUUAAUUUGCACUGAGGAAAUGCAACUGAAGCUGUUGCUGCAGCUCUGCUGCGCGGCCACGCACGCUGCUGUCACAAACCUGAACCUGACCCCGCUCUGCCUUCGGAUGGAUGCUUUGUAAGUUUUAAAAUAACGCUGCAGUAAGUGUUACACAUGCUGUGUGUGAGUAAAUCAUCCCAAACUGCUGCAAAUCAUCGUCUGUUCUCUUGUUUCAAAGCAGAGAUUGGGAAGUGCUUGGUGAUAUUUGGGUUCAGUUCAGAUAUUCCAGAGCUUGGAUGGAUGGAUUGUUUCGAUUCUUUCUUUGAACUCCUUUCCCACCCCUGCUAAAAGAAACAGACAGAUCUGCUCAGCUAAGCGACAGACAAGUUGGAGACAAUGCGGCACUGCCCUCCCAGUACCACCCCCCACAUGCCAAAUUUGCAGACAUCUGCUAGCUGGAGCACAACUCCGCGGUAAUAAAGAAGUGCUGGCAUUCAUGUGAUGUACUGCCUUCAGCAUUCACAAAUGACUGAAAUUAACCUCUGUUCUAUGGGCCUUAACUUGGUUUACGACUGGGGGUCUUUUGUUUUAUACCACCAUACAGAGGUGCCUUUGCCAUGCUAAAGAUUUAACUAAAUUAUAAUGAAUGAUCCUCACCAGCACUGUGCCCCUAAUUAGAACAAGUUGCACAGACAUAUUGUCUCCUUGAUUUCCUCUGUUACAUUUCUCUCACUCUCUUUCUCUGCCUGAGACACAUGGGUCCCAUUAAACAUUUUAGCAUUUAAUGUGGUUCCCUUAAAUGACUUCUCAAGUUUUCAAGUUCCAUUUAGAAUUGUAUGUUACUCUCCUGACUGUGGUUUUGAUUUUGUUAUGUUUCAUGAGUUCAGCCAAAGCAGUUGCUCUUCUUCCCCCUCUAGUGGGGAGUGCCUCCGGUCUGGGUAAGCCUGCAUGGAAGUGUGGCAGAACACCAGCUUACACAUUUCGUAACGUUCACACAAAUCUCUACACUUGUGUUUGAAAUAAGGGGUAGAGAAAUAGCUCCUCGUGGCUGCUUUACGCAGUCAUGGUUAAGUGUGGUGUUUCUUCAGUACGGUACAGUUGAUCUGUGAAAGAAAACAAAGCAUCUGUGAAGUUAGUUUAUUAACAGUACAUUUCUAUUUAUUGCAAACGUCCCUGUAAGGCAUAAAGCUUCUUAUUCAAUCUGUAGGUAUCUCCAACCUAAAUGGAAAUGGCUGACAAAAAGCUUUCAUAACAUGUGGUUAUAUGUACAGUAUGCAUUAUCCCCGUUGCGUGUACCUAUUGUACAGAUGGAGUGCUGAAGGACAGAGACUUUGUUGUUGAUCACAUUGUCUGUAAUGCACUUCCUCAGCAACGGCUGCAAUGAGAAUACCAAAUUGUCCUCUGGUCUCUGCCCCAGCUUUCCAGGAGUAUCAAGUCAAGUUCAAGGUCUGGACCCUAAUCCUCGAGGUAUUUUGUGGCCUGGGCCCAAGGUGUCUCAUACAGCUUGUCUGCCUGACUCAAAGCUUGUCUGUGCCACUGUAGUUAUCCCAUUUCAGAUCUGUCUGGAUAAUUCUUUUGGAAUAAGAAUGCCUUGUUUCCCCCACUCUUUCCUACUUAGCAUAUGCACUUUUGAUUUGGCAUGCAUCUAUUUAACAGAAAAGGCAUUCUUAUUCCAAAAUAAGCACCUCUUACUAGUGUCAAAACACUAAAAAAUAUG
RNA transcript from Numida meleagris (helmeted guineafowl), 7145 nucleotides. It is a transcript of the gene named noggin, with no coding region annotated. The record is from RefSeq and is a predicted model, not a curated record. Lineage: Eukaryota; Metazoa; Chordata; Aves; Galliformes; Numididae. The transcript has 4 exons.